Molecule: ribosomal RNA, 497 nt
Filed under: uncultured bacterium
Lineage: Bacteria
Description: partial 16S ribosomal RNA
Rfam family: Bacterial small subunit ribosomal RNA
Source: RNAcentral
GAUGAACGCUGGCGGCGUGCCUAAUACAUGCAAGUCGAGCGAACGGACGAGAAGCUUGCUUCUCUGAUGUUAGCGGCGGACGGGUGAGUAACACGUGGAUAACCUACCUAUAAGACUGGGAUAACUUCGGGAAACCGGAGCUAAUACCGGAUGAUAUUUUGAACCGCAUGGUUCAAAAGUGAAAGACGGUCUUGCUGUCACUUAUAGAUGGAUCCGCGCUGCAUUAGCUAGUUGAUAAGGUAACGGCUUACCAAGGCAACGAUGCAUAGCCGACCUGAGAGGGUGAUCGGCCACACUGGAACUGAGACACGGUCCAGACUCCUACGGGAGGCAGCAGUAGGGAAUCUUCCGCAAAGGGCGAAAGCCUGACGGAGCAACGCCGCGUGAGUGAUGAAGGUCUUCGGAUCGUAAAACUCUGUUAUUAGGGAAGAACAUAUGUGUAAGUAACUGUGCACAUCUUGACGGUACCUAAUCAGAAAGCCACGGCUAACUACGUG